This 694-nucleotide ribosomal RNA is filed under the name Salmonella enterica subsp. enterica serovar Chester. Its description in RNAcentral is "partial 23S ribosomal RNA". It matches the Rfam family "Bacterial large subunit ribosomal RNA", at positions 161 to 894 of the family's 2925-position model. The record is from RNAcentral. Lineage: Bacteria; Pseudomonadati; Pseudomonadota; Gammaproteobacteria; Enterobacterales; Enterobacteriaceae.
AAUCCAUAGGUUAAUGAGGCGAACCGGGGGAACUGAAACAUCUAAGUACCCCGAGGAAAAGAAAUCAACCGAGAUUCCCCCAGUAGCGGCGAGCGAACGGGGAGGAGCCCAGAGCCUGAAUCAGCAUGUGUGUUAGUGGAAGCGUCUGGAAAGGCGCGCGAUACAGGGUGACAGCCCCGUACACAAAAGCGCAUGUGCUGUGAGCUCGAUGAGUAGGGCGGGACACGUGGUAUCCUGUCUGAAUAUGGGGGGACCAUCCUCCAAGGCUAAAUACUCCUGACUGACCGAUAGUGAACCAGUACCGUGAGGGAAAGGCGAAAAGAACCCCGGCGAGGGGAGUGAAAAAGAACCUGAAACCGUGUACGUACAAGCAGUGGGAGCACAGGUUUACCUGUGUGACUGCGUACCUUUUGUAUAAUGGGUCAGCGACUUAUAUUCUGUAGCAAGGUUAACCGAAUAGGGGAGCCGGAGGGAAACCGAGUCUUAAUUGGGCGUUAAGUUGCAGGGUAUAGACCCGAAACCCGGUGAUCUAGCCAUGGGCAGGUUGAAGGUUGGGUAACACUAACUGGAGGACCGAACCGACUAAUGUUGAAAAAUUAGCGGAUGACCUGUGGCUGGGGGUGAAAGGCCAAUCAAACCGGGAGAUAGCUGGUUCUCCCCGAAAGCUAUUUAGGUAGCGCCUCGUGAAUUCAUC